AACUACAUACACUCCUUCUAGCACUUUUUUGUAAAAAUACAUUUUUUUCGUAAUAUUUAAAAAGUUAUGAAUUGUUCUUUUUUCUUUUAUAUAAAACUGUUUUCAAAAUGUAUAAUAGUCAAGUAUGUUUGUUUUUGUCACUCAACAGAGAUGUACAACAAGACGAAAAACAUAACAAUCGUACUAGUAGUAAUUUUAACAGUAAUAAAAAUAUACCAUGUUAUAACUAUAUAAGCUUGACAGCUAAUAUAGAUUUACAAACUUUGAAAAAGUUAAAUAACCUAGUUACAAAUAAUAAUAUUCUAUUAAUAGACAUUUUGUUAAAUAUUUAUUAUAACUUAACGAUAAAUAAAAAUAUCAAUUUUAAAACUUUUGUAAAAAAUUUUCGCAAUUUUUGUUAUCUACAUGAAUAUGUUAAAUAUAUAAAACAAAUAAAAAAAGAGGAAAAUGCAGAAAAAGGGGAAGAGGCAAUAAAUGAGGAAGUGGCAAUAAAUGAGGAAAAAGAAGGAGAAAAGGGUAAAGGAAAAGGCAAAGACGAAAAGGGUAAAGGAAAAGGCAAAGACAAAAAGGGUAAAGGAAAAGGCAAAGACGAAAAGGGUAAAAGCAAAGGCGAAGAAAAAGAGAAAAAGAAAAAACAAAAAAACGACAAAUGUUCAAUAAGUAAAACAAAAAAAAAGACAUAUUAUUUAUACUUCUAUGAAAACACUAAUUUUAUAAAAAAUGAACAUAUAGAAAACGACGAUCUCGAUUUAAAAAAAUAUUUAAACAAUUAUUAUGACAACAAUAUUAUACCAAAACAACACAUGCUCAAUUUUAGAUCAAGGAAUAUGGCAUAUUCUUAUAAAAAGUUGAUCACAGUCAACAAACAGAGUGAUGCGAAAAAUGGAUUAUGUAGUACUGAGUUAGUACAAAAACAAAAUAAAACAUAUGACCAUGAUUUUGUUGAUUACAUAUAUUCGGAAAAAAAAAAAGAAAAAAAAAGAAAAAAAAAAAGAAAAUCUCUAUACGCUGUAUAUACUAGCGCGCUCUUAAAUCAAUGUAAAAAACUAUAUAAAAAAAUUAUUCAAAAUAAUAAAGAAAAAAACAAUUAUAAUGUUGUAACUAUUUUUUUUAAAAAUUUAAGUUUUAGUAAUUUUAUUAAAAUCAUAUAUUUUUUAUGUAAAUCCAAAUAUGAACAUGUUUGGAAAUAUUUAAAAAAAAAAAAAAUAAAUAAUAAAAAAAAAAGUAGCUUGGUAAAUAAAAUGGAAGCUAUACAUAUAAAUAAGUUGAAAAGUAAAAAUAUAGCUGUUUAUAAAAAAAAUUACAAAAAAUGUAUACAACGAAUGGAAUAGUACAUCAUGCUUUGAAUUUUUGCAAUAUAUAAUAAAUGAAAAAGACACAACA
This 1383-nucleotide long non-coding RNA is filed under the name Piliocolobus tephrosceles (Ugandan red Colobus). RNAcentral describes it as "lncRNA (ENSPTEG00000003895.1)". The record is from RNAcentral. Lineage: Eukaryota; Metazoa; Chordata; Mammalia; Primates; Cercopithecidae.